This 507-nucleotide ribosomal RNA is filed under the name Cladosporium sp. TM1H55. RNAcentral's name for it is "eukaryotic LSU rRNA". The stretch from base 146 to 299 matches the Rfam family "5.8S ribosomal RNA". Lineage: Eukaryota; Fungi; Ascomycota; Dothideomycetes; Cladosporiales; Cladosporiaceae. The record is from RNAcentral.
GGAUCUACCACCGGGAUGUUCAUAACCCUUUGUUGUCCGACUCUGUUGCCUCCGGGGCGACCCUGCCAUCGGGCGGGGGCUCCGGGUGGACACUUCAAACUCUUGGGAAACUUUGCAGUCUGAGUAAACUUAAUUAAUAAAUUAAAACUUUUAACAACGGAUCUCUUGGUUCUGGCAUCGAUGAAGAACGCAGCGAAAUGCGAUAAGUAAUGUGAAUUGCAGAAUUCAGUGAAUCAUCGAAUCUUUGAACGCACAUUGCGCCCCCUGGUAUUCCGGGGGGCAUGCCUGUUCGAGCGUCAUUUCACCACUCAAGCCUCGCUUGGUAUUGGGCAACGCGGUCCGCCGCGUGCCUCAAAUCGACCGGCUGGGUCUUCUGUCCCCUAAGCGUUGUGGAAACUAUUCGCUAAAGGGUGCUCGGGAGGCUACGCCGUAAAACAAACCCAUUUCUAAGGUUGACCUCGGAUCAGGUAGGGAUACCCGCUGAACUUAAGCAUAUCAAUAAGCGGA